GAUGAACGCUGGCGGCGUGCCUAAUACAUGCAAGUCGAGCGAACGGACGAGAAGCUUGCUUCUCUGAUGUUAGCGGCGGACGGGUGAGUAACACGUGGAUAACCUACCUAUAAGACUGGGAUAACUUCGGGAAACCGUAACUAAUACCGGAUAAUAUUUUGAACCGCAUGGUUCAAAAGUGAAAGACGGUCUUGCUGUCACUUAUAGAUGGAUCCGCGCAGCAUUAGCUAGUUGGUAAGGUAACGGCUUACCAAGGCAACGAUGCAUAGCCGACCUGAGAGGGUGAUCGGCCACACUGGACCUGAGACACGGUCCAGACUCCUACGGGAGGCAGCAGUAGGGAAUCUUCCGCAAUGGGCGAAAGCCUGACGGAGCAACGCCGCGUGAGUGAUGAAGGUCUUCGGAUCGUAAAACUCUGUUAUUAGGGAAGAACAUAUGUGUAAGUAACUGUGCACAUCUUGACGGUACCUAAUCAGAAAGCCACGGCUAACUACGUGCCAGCAGCCGCGGUAAUACGUAGGUGGCAAGCGUUAUCCGGAAUUAUUGGGCGUAAAGCGCGCGUAGGCGGUUUUUUAAGUCUGAUGUGAAAGCCCACGGCUCAACCGUGGAGGGUCAUUGGAAACUGGAAAACUUGAGUGCAGAAGAGGAAAGUGGAACUCCAUGUGUAGCGGUGAAAUGCGCAGAGAUAUGGAGGAACACCAGUGGCGAAGGCGACUUUCUGGUCUGUAACUGACGCUGAUGUGCGAAAGCGUGGGGAUCAAACAGGAUUAGAUACCCUGGUAGUCCACACCGUAAACGAUGAGUGCUAAGUGUUAGGGGGUUUCCGCCCCUUAGUGCUGCAGCUAACGCAUUAAGCACUCCGCCUGGGGAGUACGACCGCAAGGUUGAAACUCAAAGGAAUUGACGGGGACCCGCACAAGCGGUGGAGCAUGUGGUUUAAUUCGAAGCAACGCGAAGAACCUUACCAAAUCUUGACAUCCUUUGACAACUCUAGAGAUAGAGCCUUCCCCUUCGGGGGACAAAGUGACAGGUGGUGCAUGGUUGUCGUCAGCUCGUGUCGUGAGAUGCUGGGUUAAGUCCCGCAACGAGCGCAACCCUUAAGCUUAGUUGCCAUCAUUAAGUUGGGCACUCUAAGUUGACUGCCGGUGACAAACCGGAGGAAGGUGGGGAUGACGUCAAAUCAUCAUGCCCCUUAUGAUUUGGGCUACACACGUGCUACAAUGGACAAUACAAAGGGCAGCGAAACCGCGAGGUCAAGCAAAUCCCAUAAAGUUGUUCUCAGUUCGGAUUGUAGUCUGCAACUCGACUACAUGAAGCUGGAAUCGCUAGUAAUCGUAGAUCAGCAUGCUACGGUGAAUACGUUCCCGGGUCU
RNAcentral lists this ribosomal RNA (1372 nucleotides) under uncultured bacterium. RNAcentral describes it as "bacterial SSU rRNA". It matches the Rfam family "Bacterial small subunit ribosomal RNA", at positions 28 to 1381 of the family's 1533-position model. The record is from RNAcentral.